This 213-nucleotide ribosomal RNA is filed under the name uncultured bacterium. Its description in RNAcentral is "partial 16S ribosomal RNA". It matches the Rfam family "Bacterial small subunit ribosomal RNA", at positions 28 to 237 of the family's 1533-position model. The record is from RNAcentral.
AACGAACGUUGGCGGCGUGGAUUAGGCAUGCAAGUCGAACGAAUCCCUGUUGGGUAACUGACAGGGGGAAGUGGCGAAAGGGGCGAGUAAGGCGUGGGUAACCUGCCCGGGGGACGGGGAGUAGCCCUCCUAACGGAGGGGUAAGUACCCGGCGAUCUGGUUGGGAGGCGAUCUUCCGGCCAGCAAAGGAAUCUCGCCCCCGGACGGGGCGUC